This 374-nucleotide ribosomal RNA is filed under the name uncultured organism. Its description in RNAcentral is "partial 16S ribosomal RNA". It matches the Rfam family "Bacterial small subunit ribosomal RNA", at positions 527 to 896 of the family's 1533-position model. The record is from RNAcentral.
GUAGGUGGCAAGCGUUGUCCGGAAUUAUUGGGCGUAAAGCGCGCGCAGGCGGUCCUUUAAGUCUGAUGUGAAAGCCUACGGCUCAACCGUGGAGGGUCAUUGGAAACUGGAGAACUUGAGUACAGAAGAGGAAAGCGGAAUUCCACGUGUAGCGGUGAAAUGCGUAGAGAUGUGGAGGAACACCAGUGGCGAAGGCGGCUUUCUGGUCUGUAACUGACGCUGAGGCGCGAAAGCGUGGGGAGCAAACAGGAUUAGAUACCCUGGUAGUCCACGCCGUAAACGAUGAGUGCUAAGUGUUAGGGGGGUUUUCCGCCCCCCUUAGUGCUGCAGCUAACGCAUUAAGCACUCCGCCUGGGAGUACGGCCGCAAGGCUG